GGAGUGAGCGACUGAGAGGACGACCGGGUGGAUGAAAUCUGGGACUUCAGUUCUCUCUGCAGCCUGCUGAGGUUUUGGGCCACCCGGAGACGCACUGGGGGUCCGGUGAAGAGAAGCACUCGAUAUACACUCGUUAUACAGGCUGGAUAUACAGGCUGGAAAGAUAAGUCUGUUUUCAUGUUUUAUCGAUAUUACUAAGUCUAACAGAGCAACA
Pelobates cultripes (western spadefoot toad) is the source of this 214-nucleotide non-coding RNA. The record is from the annotation of a GenBank genome assembly. NCBI's taxonomy places the organism in Eukaryota, Metazoa, Chordata, Amphibia, Anura, Pelobatidae.